GUUCAAGUUUAUUUUUUGUGUCAUUCUUAAACUUGUUUCUUUUAAUGAAUUUUUUAAAUUUUCUUGUUAGAAGUGCCAAGUCAUCGUCACAGUCCUCAUCACUUGAGUUUUCUCUCAAGUGGUCUUCUAAAGUUCUGAGUGCCAUAUCCUUCCUGUUCUUUGGAAGGAUGUCUUCUUGCUCUUCAUGAGCUUUGCAAGUCAUCUCGUAGGUCAUUAAUGACCCGAU
This 226-nucleotide long non-coding RNA is filed under the name Musa acuminata (dwarf banana). RNAcentral's name for it is "long non-coding RNA (MACU_LNC009037)". Lineage: Eukaryota; Viridiplantae; Streptophyta; Magnoliopsida; Zingiberales; Musaceae. The record is from RNAcentral.